RNAcentral lists this ribosomal RNA (505 nucleotides) under uncultured bacterium. RNAcentral describes it as "partial 16S ribosomal RNA". It matches the Rfam family "Bacterial small subunit ribosomal RNA", at positions 28 to 507 of the family's 1533-position model. The record is from RNAcentral.
GACGAACGCUGGCGGCGUGCCUAAUACAUGCAAGUCGAACGCCCAGUUAAUACCAUCGCUUGCUUCACCAUAAACUGUGAGUUGCGAACGGGUGAGUAACGCGUAGGUAACCUGCCUGGUAGCGGGGGAUAACUAUUGGAAACGUUAUCUAGUACCGCAUAUUCUUGAUUAUUGCAUGAUAAUUGAUUGAAAGCUCCUAUUGCAUCGCUACUAGCUGGUCCUGCGUUGUAUUAGCUAGUAGGGGAGGUAACGGGCCACCUAGGCGACGAUACAUAGCCGACCUGAGAGGGUGAGCUGCCACACUGGGACUGAGACACGGCCCAGACUCCCACGGGAGGCAGCAGUAGGGAAUCUUCGGCAAUGGACGAAAGACUGAGCGAGCAACGCCGCGUGAGUGAAGAAGGGUUUCGGAUCGUAUAGCGCUGUUGUAAGAGAAGAGCGGAGGUGAGAGUUGAAAGUUCACACUGUGACGGGAUCUUACCAGAAAGGGACGGCUAACUACGUU